GUAUUGAUUGGUGCUUGCAUCAUGAUUUACAUUUGAGUGAGUGGCGAACUGGUGAGUAACACGUGGGAAACCUGCCCAGAAGCGGGGGAUAACACCUGGAAACAGAUGCUAAUACCGCAUAACAACUUGGACCGCAUGGUCCGAGUUUGAAAGAUGGCUUCGGCUAUCACUUUUGGAUGGUCCCGCGGCGUAUUAGCUAGAUGGUGGGGUAACGGCUCACCAUGGCAAUGAUACGUAGCCGACCUGAGAGGGUAAUCGGCCACAUUGGGACUGAGACACGGCCCAAACUCCUACGGGAGGCAGCAGUAGGGAAUCUUCCACAAUGGACGAAAGUCUGAUGGAGCAACGCCGCGUGAGUGAAGAAGGGUUUCGGCUCGUAAAACUCUGUUGUU
RNAcentral lists this ribosomal RNA (392 nucleotides) under Lactiplantibacillus plantarum. RNAcentral describes it as "bacterial SSU rRNA". It matches the Rfam family "Bacterial small subunit ribosomal RNA", at positions 64 to 440 of the family's 1533-position model. Lineage: Bacteria; Bacillati; Bacillota; Bacilli; Lactobacillales; Lactobacillaceae. The record is from RNAcentral.